GAUGAACGCUGGCGGCGUGCCUAAUACAUGCAAGUCGAGCGAACAGAUAAGGAGCUUGCUCCUUUGACGUUAGCGGCGGACGGGUGAGUAACACGUGGGUAACCUACCUAUAAGACUGGAAUAACUUCGGGAAACCGGGGCUAAUGCCGGAUAACAUUUAGAACCGCAUGGUUCUAAAGUGAAAGAUGGUUUUGCUAUCACUUAUAGAUGGACCCGCGCUGCAUUAGCUAGUUGGUAAGGUAACGGCUUACCAAGGCAACGAUACGUAGCCGACCUGAGAGGGUGAUCGGCCACACUGGAACUGAGACACGGUCCAGACUCCUACGGGAGGCAGCAGUAGGGAAUCUUCCGCAAUGGGCGAAAGCCUGACGGAGCAACGCCGCGUGAGUGAUGAAGGUCUUCGGAUCGUAAAACUCUGUUAUUAGGGAAGAACAAAUGUGUAAGUAACUGUGCACGUCUUGACGGUACCUAAUCAGAAAGCCACGGCUAACUACGUG
Molecule: ribosomal RNA, 497 nt
Filed under: uncultured bacterium
Lineage: Bacteria
Description: partial 16S ribosomal RNA
Rfam family: Bacterial small subunit ribosomal RNA
Source: RNAcentral